AGCAGUCGCCACGGUAAUACGAAGGGUGCAAGCGUUACUCGGAAUUACUGGGCGUAAAGCGUGCGUAGGUGGCUUCUUAAGUCGGAUGUGAAAUCCCUGAGCUUAACUUAGGAAUUGCAUUCGAUACUGGGAAGCUAGAGUAUGGGAGAGGAUGGUAGAAUUCCAGGUGUAGCGGUGAAAUGCGUAGAGAUCUGGAGGUAUACCGAUGGCGAAGGCAGCCAUCUGGCCUAAUACUGACGCUGAGGUACGAAAGCAUGGGGAGCAAACAGGAUUAGAGACCCCCGUAGUCCCUGUCUCUUAUAC
RNAcentral lists this ribosomal RNA (303 nucleotides) under uncultured bacterium. RNAcentral describes it as "partial 16S ribosomal RNA". It matches the Rfam family "Bacterial small subunit ribosomal RNA", at positions 507 to 807 of the family's 1533-position model. The record is from RNAcentral.